GCGUCCAACACAAACUGGAAUUGCUAUUUAGGAUUGUUUAACUCUUCAUUUUGAGGAGAUGGGUAGUGGGGAGGGUUUUUGUCUGUUUCUUUCCUGGUAGGAGUGGGCUCUGAAUCUGCUGUGCUUAGGUAUCUUAGUAGGUAGGACCAUCAAGAAAAGACAGUGAAUGAAUAGUUCUUAUAAGUAGAUAAAGUACUUUUUUUUUUUUUUUUGCAGUAUGUCAUUGUUUAUGUCACUAAUUUAAAAGUAUUCCAGCUCUGGGUUUUAUAACUAACAAUAUGAGAAAUAGUUUUUGUUCAGAUGUAGCUCAAGAUGCAUCUCUCCCUUGUUCAAAUUACUAUACAUCCUCUUUGCUUCUCAUGGAAUUUGGAAACUAUCUCAGCUGCUAAUGAUCUAAACAUUUUGGUCUUACAGGUGUUCUUUUGAUCACAAUGGAUAGUGACUCUUCUCUUCUGCCUGAGUGGUUCAAAAUAAUGAAAGAUGAGAUUGGACUUCUCAGUUUGUGUCCAGAACAAGGAUGGAGAGGCUCAGCAGCACCGACAGGUCAGUAGGUUUUCUCUGUGCCAUAUGAUGGGGUUCUGAGUUUGCUGCAGCCCUGGCCUUGGGCCAGGCACAUUGUGUCUGAUUUUGAGGUUCAAGGGUAUUGUUAUUUCCACUUUAUCAAUAAGGAAACAAGCUCCGAGUGAGCACUGGACAGCAUUACAAGGUUAUAGAACAUAGCAGGGUUGGGGGUGUCAGCUCUGGGGCUUGGAGACACAACUCAUGUCCCUGCUCCUCUCCUCCCUCUCCCU
RNAcentral lists this long non-coding RNA (791 nucleotides) under Aotus nancymaae (Ma's night monkey). RNAcentral describes it as "lncRNA (ENSANAG00000038886.1)". Lineage: Eukaryota; Metazoa; Chordata; Mammalia; Primates; Aotidae. The record is from RNAcentral.